AGGCGAGAGGUGCUGCCGGUAAAGCUGGACCGGGGAACGUCUGUACCCGCCUUAGAUAUCACACUUUUGAUUCUCAAACACAAGGAAUAUCUUUCCCUCCUCCCUCCGAGAAGUAGGACGAAGGGAGACCUACGGAUCCUACCCUAGACUUGAAGAGAAAGGCUGGGAGCCCGAAGGCAGGAUGCGCAAUUCCUUCCCUAUUUCCCCGCAACCCACCUUCCUUUCCCUCUACUCCUUUCACUUUUAAAUGAAACGACUUAAAAGCUGGGCGUAGUGGCCCAGUCUUGUGGUUCCAGCUACCCGGAAUGCUGAGGCGGGAAGAUCGCUUGAGCCCGCGAGUUCGAGACCAGCCUGGGCCACAUCGUGAGACAUCCCCCGCCCGCCCAUCCCAAAUAACGAGAGAAAUGCCUUUAAAAAUGUUAUCGCCCUCCUUCGCUUUUAUUCGGAGGAAGAGCUUGUAUGUCCAGCGAAGACCUUACCGCCUCCUUAGGAGAAUUCUUUGAGCUGACAAACUCGGGGCGCCCGCGUCCUGCCAUGCUUAAUAGGUCUCAUAAAUACUUGUAAGAUUAGAAUGAGAUGGAUUGGAGGAGUCAGAGGUUUACAUUUCCUAAUUAUUGCGCAUUUUCUUGAGUAGCCCUAUAGAUUAAUUUAUUCAACAACUAGUUUAUUGAAUGGCUACCAAGGAUCGAGAAUUGUAGACUUUGAGGACGCUGCGAUAAACAAAAAUCUGUUCUCAUGGAGCUUACAUCAUAUUGUGGGGAGCAAGAAAACGAGCAAGUAAAAUAUAUGGUACAUUAGAAAGUGAUAACUUUUGUGGAGAAAAAUUAAAAGGCUUUUUUUUUUUUCUUCUCUGACAUUGGAAGCCAUUUGAAGGUUCUGAACUAAAGAGUGACUAGGUCUGAUGGGUUCACUGUGUUGAGACUGAAGAGAAGCAGGGGAAGCAGCAGGAAGAUCUGUUAGGAGGCUACUCUAAUGGUCCUGUUGAGAGAUGAUGGACAUUCAGUACAGGUGAUUAGUCCUGAAAUUCUGAAUAUUUUAAAUGUAUUGCUGAUACAUAAUUAAUGAGAGGAGUAAAGGACAACUCCAACAUUUUAGGAAAUAAAUGUAUGUCACAUUUAAAGUCAGAUACCCUAUUAAAUACAACAGGAUAGGGUUAUGUUCCUUGUAACCCACUAUCCCAUCCAGUUUUCUCUGUCCCAGAAAUAUACUAGAAAUUCUGCUACUUAAGAGAUUCAUUAUUCAGCAGCACAUAUUCUAAAAUUAGAAUGGUGCAGAGAAGAUUUAGCAUGGCCCCUGCGCAAGGAUGACACACAAAUUUUUGUGAGGCAUUCCACACUUGUAAAGUACUUAGAAGUUUAUUUGACAAUAGCAUAUUCCUUUUGAGAAAAUAGACUUCAAGGUACAAUGGAUAGCACCC
RNAcentral lists this long non-coding RNA (1417 nucleotides) under Marmota monax (woodchuck). Lineage: Eukaryota; Metazoa; Chordata; Mammalia; Rodentia; Sciuridae. The record is from RNAcentral.